UUCCAAAAAUAAAGAGAAACUUCCAGCGGCUUCUUCCAUCUAUUCGAAAUCGAGUUAAAGCUACGGUUAACAGAUCAAAUGCUAUCCAACACGCUGGAACAGGCCGCAAAGGCAUAGAAGAUCAUCAGGGAAUCGCAGAGAAAGGUCAUCAAAGCAUUUUUGCCACAACUUUGGCCCUUGACGGGAUGCUUCAUAUGAUCGUUGCAGACAUCAAUUUCUUUUUUAUUUUUCAUCAAGUCAAGUAUCUGGAACAAGUCCUGGCUAACUUUGUAGUCCUUGUUGCAUAUCCUCACCGUCGAAUUGAAUCUUUUGAUCACAUUCUGAGCCCGUAUGGCCACCUGCUGAUAACAAUCUAGCCUCCCAGCAGACCUUUUCACAUGGUCAGCUAUGUGAUUCCAGAACUGGAUGGGAUAGUAGAAGAGUUUCUUUAGCUGUGGCAACUCCUCCAAUGUCAGGUGUCCACCUAUGUGGGCAGUCAGGCAAAUGACGAGAAACGUAACCGAAUAGAGCACCUUCAUUGCGGUCGAGAUUGAAAC
Molecule: long non-coding RNA, 536 nt
Filed under: Drosophila guanche
Lineage: Eukaryota; Metazoa; Arthropoda; Insecta; Diptera; Drosophilidae
Source: RNAcentral